Molecule: ribosomal RNA, 460 nt
Filed under: uncultured bacterium
Lineage: Bacteria
Description: partial 16S ribosomal RNA
Rfam family: Bacterial small subunit ribosomal RNA
Source: RNAcentral
CCUACGGGUGGCAGCAGUGAGGAAUAUUGCACAAUGGCCGUAACGCUGAACCAGCGACGCCGCGUGAAGGAAGAAGGAUCUCUGGUUUGUAAACUUCUUUUAUAGGGGAAUAAAGGUACCCACGCUUGGAUAUUUGCUCGUACUCUCUGAAUACGCACAGGCGAACUCCGUGCUAGCAGCCGCGGUUAUACGGAGGGUGCGAGCGUUAUCCGGAUUUAAGGGGUUUAAAGGGUGCGGAGGUGGUUGUUUAAGUCUGCGGUGAAAGUUUGUGGCUCAACCAUGAAAUUGCCGUUGAAACUGGAGGGCUUGAGUGUAGUAGAGGUAGGCGGAAUGCGUGGUGUAGCGGUGAAAUGCGUAGAUAUCACGCAGAACUCCAGUGGCGAAGGCAGCUUACUGGGCCAUAACUGACGCUGAGGCACGAAAGCGUGGGGAGCAAACAGGAUUAGAUACCCGUGUAGUC